GGAGGAUUAGCUCAGCUGGGAGAGCACCUGCCUUACAAGCAGGGGGGCGGCGGUUCGAUCCCGUCAUCCUCCACCA
RNAcentral lists this transfer RNA (76 nucleotides) under Bacillus anthracis (anthrax bacterium). RNAcentral's name for it is "tRNA-Val". It matches the Rfam family "tRNA". From Rfam's summary of the family: Transfer RNA (tRNA) molecules are approximately 80 nucleotides in length. Their secondary structure includes four short double-helical elements and three loops (D, anti-codon, and T loops). Lineage: Bacteria; Bacillati; Bacillota; Bacilli; Caryophanales; Bacillaceae. The record is from RNAcentral. RNAcentral also lists the same sequence under 7 other names.